UGGUGGCGACCGGCGCACGGGUGAGUAACGCGUAUGCAACCCAUCUAUCAGAGGGGAAUAACCCGGCGAAAGUCGGACUAACACCGCAUAAAACAGGGACACCGCAUGGUGAUAUUUGUUAAAGAAAUUCGCUGAUAGAUGGGCAUGCGUUCCAUUAGGUAGCUGGUGAGGUAACGGCUCACCAAGCCGACGAUGGAUAGGGGAACUGAGAGGUUGGUCCCCCACACUGGUACUGAGACACGGACCAGACUCCUACGGGAGGCAGCAGUGAGGAAUAUUGGUCAAUGGGCGAGAGCCUGAACCAGCCAAGUCGCGUGAAGGAAGAAGGAUCUAUGGUUCGUAAACUUCUUUUGCAGGGGAAUAAAGUGCAGGACGUGUCCUGUUUUGUAUGUACCCUGAGAAUAAGGAUCGGCUAACUCCGUGCCAGCAGCCGCGGUAAUACGGAGGAUCCGAGCGUUAUCCGGAUUUAUUGGGUUUAAAGGGUGCGUAGGUGGUUUGAUAAGUCAGCGGUGAAAGUUUGCAGCUUAACUGUAAAAAUGCCGUUGAAACUGUCGGACUUGAGUGUAAAUGAGGUAGGCGGAAUGCGUGGUGUAGCGGUGAAAUGCUUAGAUAUCACGAAGAACUCCGAUUG
Molecule: ribosomal RNA, 631 nt
Filed under: uncultured Porphyromonadaceae bacterium
Lineage: Bacteria; Pseudomonadati; Bacteroidota; Bacteroidia; Bacteroidales; Porphyromonadaceae
Description: bacterial SSU rRNA
Rfam family: Bacterial small subunit ribosomal RNA
Source: RNAcentral